Pelobates cultripes (western spadefoot toad) is the source of this 149-nucleotide non-coding RNA. The record is from the annotation of a GenBank genome assembly. Lineage: Eukaryota; Metazoa; Chordata; Amphibia; Anura; Pelobatidae.
GGUAAGUGAGGCAGGGGAGAGAGAGCCUAUAGAUCAGGUAAGUGAGGCAUGGGGGGGAGAGCCUCACUUACCUGAUCUAUAGGCUCUCUCUUCCCCCCAUGCCUCACUUACCUGAUCUAUAGGCUCUCCCCCCCAUGCCUCACUUACCU